GCAUUGGUGGUUCAGUGGUAGAAUUCUUGCCUUCCAUGCAGGAAACCUGGGUUCGAUUCCAGCCAGUGCA
Loxodonta africana (African savanna elephant) is the source of this 70-nucleotide transfer RNA. It matches the Rfam family "tRNA". Rfam says of the family: Transfer RNA (tRNA) molecules are approximately 80 nucleotides in length. Their secondary structure includes four short double-helical elements and three loops (D, anti-codon, and T loops). Further hydrogen bonds mediate the characteristic L-shaped molecular structure. tRNAs have two regions of fundamental functional importance: the anti-codon, which is responsible for specific mRNA codon recognition, and the 3' end, to which the tRNAs corresponding amino acid is attached (by aminoacyl-tRNA synthetases). tRNAs cope with the degeneracy of the genetic code in two manners: having more than one tRNA (with a specific anti-codon) for a particular amino acid; and 'wobble' base-pairing, i.e. permitting non-standard base-pairing at the 3rd anti-codon position. NCBI's taxonomy places the organism in Eukaryota, Metazoa, Chordata, Mammalia, Proboscidea, Elephantidae. The record is from Rfam.